RNAcentral lists this long non-coding RNA (235 nucleotides) under Eutrema salsugineum. Its description in RNAcentral is "long non-coding RNA (ESAL_LNC000245)". The record is from RNAcentral. Lineage: Eukaryota; Viridiplantae; Streptophyta; Magnoliopsida; Brassicales; Brassicaceae.
ACGUUCGACCUUCUCGAACAUGCCUCGGCGUUGAACAUUCAAGUAAGCGCCUCGGCACUGAUCUUUAAACAUGCCUCAGCAUCUAUUUUCAAGCAAAUGACUCGGCAUUAUUCUUCUUGAAAACACUUCAGCUCUAACCACUGGACAAACACCUUGGUCUUAUCUAGUCCACCGGGCUGACCUUAUCUUUCGACACAGCUCGCUGUGAACGAGGCAAAGCCGUUCAUCGUCCAUG